ACCUGGCUGGCUCAGUGGGUAGAGUAUGAGACUCUUAAUCUCAGGGUUGUAAGACUGAGCCCCAUGUUGGGUG
Molecule: transfer RNA, 73 nt
Filed under: Mustela putorius furo (domestic ferret)
Lineage: Eukaryota; Metazoa; Chordata; Mammalia; Carnivora; Mustelidae
Rfam family: tRNA
About the family: Transfer RNA (tRNA) molecules are approximately 80 nucleotides in length.
Source: Rfam by way of RNAcentral